This 252-nucleotide ribosomal RNA is filed under the name uncultured microorganism. RNAcentral describes it as "partial 16S ribosomal RNA". It matches the Rfam family "Bacterial small subunit ribosomal RNA", at positions 524 to 776 of the family's 1533-position model. The record is from RNAcentral.
UACGUAGGUCCCGAGCGUUGUCCGGAUUUAUUGGGCGUAAAGCGAGCGCAGGUGGUUUAUUAAGUCUGGUGUAAAAGGCAGUGGCUCAACCAUUGUAUGCAUUGGAAACUGGUAGACUUGAGUGCAGGAGAGGAGAGUGGAAUUCCAUGUGUAGCGGUGAAAUGCGUAGAUAUAUGGAGGAACACCGGUGGCGAAAGCGGCUCUCUGGUCUGUAACUGACACUGAGGCUCGAAAGCGUGGGUAGCAAACAGG